ACUCGAGUGGCGAACGGGUGAGUAACACGUGGGUGAUCUGCCCUGCACUUCGGGAUAAGCUUGGGAAACUGGGUCUAAUACCGGAUAGGAGCCAUCUUUAGUGUGGUGGUUGGAAAGUUUUUUCGGUGUAGGAUGAGCUCGCGGCCUAUCAGCUUGUUGGUGGGGUAAUAGCCUACCAAGGCGGCGACGGGUAGCCGGCCUGAGAGGGUGUACGGCCACAUUGGGACUGAGAUACGGCCCAG
RNAcentral lists this ribosomal RNA (242 nucleotides) under uncultured Actinomycetales bacterium. Its description in RNAcentral is "partial 16S ribosomal RNA". It matches the Rfam family "Bacterial small subunit ribosomal RNA", at positions 89 to 334 of the family's 1533-position model. Lineage: Bacteria; Bacillati; Actinomycetota; Actinomycetes; Actinomycetales. The record is from RNAcentral.